UCUCACCAACUCUGCCUCCCUUGGAAAAAGCCUCUAAUAUCAAGAACAGUUCCAUUCACUUCAAAUCCUUUUGUCUCUCAGCCUCAAGAAGCUGUCAUCUCUAACAAAGAGCAUCCUACCCAACAAAUGAAAUAUGCAGUUUAUUGCCUGCCAGCAGACCUCAGGACCUUUGCUACUCAUCCAUAUACAUCAGGAGAAAAAAGGGAACAAACCCAACUGUCUGGAGAAAUCCAUGUUGGGUGACCAUUUUGUUCUCCAGAUAAAGAGAGUGAUAAAUUUCCUAGAGUAAUCUGAAGACCUGGAUGUGAAGCAGACGGUAUUUUCUUUCCAGGGCACAUUUUGGCCUUUGGGAUAGCAGAUUUAAGAAGGGAAAAGCAGUUAGUGUGGUGAGUGCAACAAGAGAAGGAAAGAGUGAGAAUUUGUGAGAGAAACAGCCCAGCAGACAGCAAGGUCAGUGGAGGAGGAGGAGGAGAAGGUGCUCCAGAUGCAAGUGCAGAGAUUCUCCUGCAGCCCAUGCAGAAGACCAUGACGAAGACCUUGGUGAGGCAGCUGUGCCCCUGCAUCCUAGGGAAGUCCAUGGCAGGACAGAGAUCCACCUGCAGCUGGAGGACCCCAGGGCGGAGCAGGUGGAUGCCUGAAGUAGGUUGUCAUCAUGAUACCACGGAGGACCAUGAUAGAGCAGGCUCCUGGCAGGACCUGUGGCCCUAUGGAGAGAGGAGACCAUGUCGGAGCAGCUCUGCUGACAGGACUUGUGACCCUGUGAGGGAUCCAUGCUGGAAAAGUUUGUUCCUGAAGGACUGUACACCAUGGAAAGGACCCAUGUUGGGGCAGUUUGGAAGAACUGCAGUCUGUGGGAAGGACCCGUGUUGGAAUUCAUGUCUCCUGUGGGAGGAACCCCACGCUGGAGGAGGACUACACAGAGAAAACAGCUUUGGACCUGCAUCGAGAGGUUGGAUUUCCUGAUCUCCUGCACCAUUCUCUGAGUCUGUGAAACACCAAAACAC
Corvus hawaiiensis (hawaiian crow) is the source of this 1004-nucleotide long non-coding RNA. RefSeq lists it as uncharacterized. The record is from RefSeq and is a predicted model, not a curated record. The transcript has 3 exons. NCBI's taxonomy places the organism in Eukaryota, Metazoa, Chordata, Aves, Passeriformes, Corvidae.